Molecule: ribosomal RNA, 402 nt
Filed under: uncultured bacterium
Lineage: Bacteria
Description: bacterial SSU rRNA
Rfam family: Bacterial small subunit ribosomal RNA
Source: RNAcentral
UGGGGAAUCUUGCACAAUGGGGGCAACCCUGAUGCAGCGACGCCGCGUGAGCGAUGAAGCCCUUCGGGGCGUAAAGCUCUUUCGACCGGAACGAUAAUGACGGUACCGGGAGAAGAAGCUGCGGCUAACUACGUGCCAGCAGCCGCGGUAAUACGUAGGCAGCAAGCGUUGUUCGGAGUUACUGGGCGUAAAGAGUGCGUGGGCGGUUUUCUAAGUUCGGUGUGAAAUCUCCCGGCUUAACUGGGAGGGUGCGCCGAAGACUGGGAAGCUGGAGUGUGGGAAAGGCAGGCGGAAUUCCUGGUGUAGCGGUGAAAUGCGUAGAUAUCAGGAGGAACACCGGCGGUGUAGACGGCUUGCUAGACCAUAACUGACGCUGAGGCACGAAAGCGUGGGUAGCAAACA